RNAcentral lists this small RNA (29 nucleotides) under Bombyx mori (domestic silkworm). RNAcentral's name for it is "ovarian small RNA-18454". Lineage: Eukaryota; Metazoa; Arthropoda; Insecta; Lepidoptera; Bombycidae. The record is from RNAcentral.
UAAAUCACUAGAAUGCUUUGUUGCCGAUU